This is a long non-coding RNA of Maniola jurtina (meadow brown), 963 nucleotides long. RefSeq lists it as uncharacterized. The record is from RefSeq and is a predicted model, not a curated record. Lineage: Eukaryota; Metazoa; Arthropoda; Insecta; Lepidoptera; Nymphalidae. The transcript is spliced from 3 exons.
CUGAACCUGCAUGAAUACGGGUGUUUCGAAGGCUUCAGUCCAGUCUCCAUCCGAGAUUCGGAGCGACAUCGCACCCCCUCGGCACUCGGACUGCGAACUGGACAACUAGAUGCUGUGGACAGCAAUCCCGCUCCAAUCAAAUUAAUCUUUUUAAAUUAAAACUCUCUGACAACCUCCACGCAUUGAACCAAUGUUCCAUGCGAAGGUUUUGGGAGGACAUUCCAAUAAUUCGACAAAAACAUCUAAACAACACCUGCUUUUCUGAGUGACGCCAAUAUUAUUAAAACGUAUUUGCAGAGUGAGCGUUCUGUAAGGUACUAAGUAAAUGUCGUCACGCUUGACCACAAUAACAUCCGAUGGAAAGAGAUAAUGCGGUCCAAGAUGGGACGCGUUCAUAUAGAAGAUGCUCAUUCACUCUUAUUCUAAGGACACCCGAACUACAAUUUGGCAGGAAAUACAGAUCGCGGAAAAGUAUUCCAAACCUUAGCCAAGUUUUUUGAACAGCAAUGAAAUAGGCGAUGUAGUUUGCAAGGCUGGUUUUAGUAGAUACCUGAUUUUAUCAAAACCCCGAAUUUGUAAGGUAAUGCUGCGAAAGGACGGUACUUUGAUACUCUUUUAGAAACUUUUAAAGUUGAAGGAACCAAUGGAGAUUGAUUUAAAAGAAUUCGGGCUUAGUUACGUAGUUCGUAAAAGGUGUAUACUUACCUGUCUUAAUACUGUUUGAGACAGUUGCCCGAAACAACUUUUUAGAGUAAUUUUCAUGAUUUUUAUUUUAUAAACUGUUUUCAUAUGGCUCCCCCUUUUUCUUUCCAUCAGAGAAGUCACUUUGUUGACGAUAAAAGGUAUUUCCUAAGAUAUAGUUAGUAUUGAAAAACUUUGGACAUACCUACCCUCAAUUUUUGAUAUUUUUCUAUACAACUUACAUUCAAUAUUUUUCUUAUUUAUUUAUUUAUUACAUUCUAU